RNAcentral lists this transfer RNA (75 nucleotides) under Parcubacteria group bacterium. RNAcentral describes it as "tRNA-Gly". It matches the Rfam family "tRNA". Rfam says of the family: Transfer RNA (tRNA) molecules are approximately 80 nucleotides in length. Their secondary structure includes four short double-helical elements and three loops (D, anti-codon, and T loops). The record is from RNAcentral.
GCGGGUAUCGUAUAAUGGCUAUUAUGCCACCUUGCCAAGGUGGAGAUACGGGUUCAAUUCCCGUUACUCGCUCCA